CUUGGUCAUUUAGAGGAAGUAAAAGUCGUAACAAGGUUUCCGUAGGUGAACCUGCGGAAGGAUCAUUACAGUGUUCCCUGCCCUCACGGGUAGAAACGCCUACCCUUUGUGUAAUAUAUCUUGUUGCUUUGGCGGGCCGCCUUCGGGCACCGGCUUCGGCUGGGUUGCGCCUGCCAGAGGACCCCAAACUCUGAAUGUUAGUGUCGUCUGAGUACUAUAUAAUAGUUAAAACUUUCAACAACGGAUCUCUUGGUUCUGGCAUCGAUGAAGAACGCAGCGAAAUGCGAUAAGUAAUGUGAAUUGCAGAAUUCAGUGAAUCAUCGAAUCUUUGAACGCACAUUGCGCCCCAUGGUAUUCCGCGGGGCAUGCCUGUUCGAGCGUCAUUUAAACCAAUCCAGCUUGGCUGGGUCUUGGGCUCUCGCCUCCGGGCGGGCCUUAAAAUCAGUGGCGGUGCCACCCGGCUCUAAGCGUAGUAAAUACUCCUCGCUACAGGGCUCCGGGUGGAGGCUGGCCAACAAUCCCCCAUUUUAUCAGGUUGACCUCGGAUCAGGUAGGGAUACCCGCUGAACUUAAGCAUAUCAAUAAGCGGAGGAAAAGAAACCAACAGGGAUUACCUCAGUAACGGCGAGUGAAGCGGUAACAGCUCAAAUUUGAAAUCUGGCUCUUUCAGGGUCCGAGUUGUAAUUUGUAGAAGAUGCUUCGGGUGUAGCUCCGGUCUAAGUUCCUUGGAACAGGACGUCAUAGAGGGUGAGAAUCCCGUAUGUGACUGGUGGCUUUCGCCCAUGUGAAGCUCUUUCGACGAGUCGAGUUGUUUGGGAAU
This 820-nucleotide small RNA is filed under the name uncultured Helotiales. RNAcentral describes it as "eukaryotic LSU rRNA". The stretch from base 537 to 820 matches the Rfam family "Eukaryotic large subunit ribosomal RNA", at positions 1 to 281 of the family's 3401-position model. Lineage: Eukaryota; Fungi; Ascomycota; Leotiomycetes; Helotiales. The record is from RNAcentral.